GAAGCCUAAUGGGAUCCUGAGUACGGCGAGACACGAGGAAUCUUGUCGGAAGCAGGCGGGACCAUCCGCCAAGGCUAAAUAUAAACGAGUGAGCGAUAGUGAACCAGUACCGUGAGGGAAAGGUGAAAAGAACCGCGGGAGCGGAGUGAAAGAGAACCUGAAACCGUAUGCCUACAAGAAGUCAGAGCCCGUUAAGGGGUGAUGGCGUGCCUUUUGUAGAAUGAACCGGCGAGUUGCGACAGACUGCGAGGUUAAGGAGGAAAGACCGGAGCCGAAGCGAAAGCGAGUCUUAAUAGGGCGAAAGUAGGAUGUUGCAGACCCGAAACCGGGUGAUCUAGCCAUGAGCAGGUUGAAGUUGAGGUGAAACUCAAUGGAGGACCGAACCGACUACCGUUGAAAAGUUAGCGGAUGACUUGUGGCUAGGGGAGAAAUUCCAAUCGAACCCGGAGAUAGCUGGUUCUCCCCGAAAUAGCUUUAGGGCUAGCGUCGGAAAGAACCUUAGUGAAGGUAGAGCACUGAAUGUGUGAUGGCCCCAUCCCGGGGUACUGAAUACAAUCAAACUGCGAAUGUCAUUAAGGAUGUCCGGCAGUCAGACUGUGAGUGAUAAGGUCCAUGGUCAAGAGGGAAACAGCCCAGACCGCCAGUUAAGGUCCCAAAAUACAGGCUAAGUGGAAAAGGAUGUGGGGAUGCCCAGACAACUAGGAGGUUGGCUCAGAAGCAGCCAUCCUUUAAAGAGUGCGUAACAGCUCACUAGUCGAGUGACCCUGCGCCGAAAAUGUACCGGGGCUAAGCCUGAUACCGAAACUGCGGAUUGUAGGAAACUAUAGUGGUAGGGGAGCGUUGUAUACGAGUGGAAGCCGUACCGUGAGGAGCGGUGGAUUGUAUAGAAGUGAGAAUGCCGGUGUGAGUAGCGAGAUGUAGGUGAGAAUCCUACACACCGAAAGCCCAAGGAUUCCAGGGGAAGGUUCGUCCGCCCUGGGUAAGUCGGGACCUAACGCGAGGCCGAAAGGCGUAGUGGAUGGAAAGCAGGCGAAAGAUUCCUGCACCCGUAUAUGGAGCGAAGGAGUGACGGAGACGGAUAGUGUGACCCUCUUAAUGGAUUGAGGGCGAAGCGAAGCGGCUGGUUACCAGGCAAAUCCGGUAACCAUAAGGCUAGAGCGUGAUAGGUAAGCGAAAUCUUAGGAAAGUAGCGAAGCACAUGAUGACGGCUUCCAGGAAAAGCUUCUGGCAAUGCAUAUGCGGCCCGUACCAAAACCGACACAGGUGGGCAGGGAGAGAAUCCCGAGGUGAGCGAGAGAACUGUUGCCAAGGAACUCGGCAAAAUGACUCCGUAAGUUAGCGAGAAGGAGUGCUUAAGCAAUUAAGCCGCAGUGAAGAGGCCCAAGCGACUGUUUAACUAAAACACAGCUCUCUGCGAAGUCGCAAGACGAAGUAUAGGGGGUGACACCUGCCCGGUGCUGGAAGGUUAAGAGGAUCUGUUAAGAGCGAUCUGAAGCAGUGAUCCGAAGCCCCAGUGAACGGCGGCCGUAACUAUAACGGUCCUAAGGUAGCGAAAUUCCUUGUCAGGUAAGUUCUGACCCGCACGAAAGGUGUAACGAUUUGGGCGCUGUCUCGGCAGCAGACUCGGUGAAAUCUUAGUACCUGUGAAAAUGCAGGUUACCCGCAACUAGACGGAAAGACCCCAUGGAGCUUUACUGCAGCCUGAUAUUGAAUUCUGGUCAUACAUGUACAGGAUAGGUGGGAGACAAAGAGACGUGCACGCCAGUGUACGAGGAGUCGACGUUGGGAUACCACUCUUGUGUGACCGGGGUUCUAACCUGGUAUCGAGAACAGGUACGGGGAGAGUGUCAGGUGGGCAGUUUGACUGGGGCGGUCGCCUCCCAAAGAGUAACGGAGGC
This 1898-nucleotide ribosomal RNA is filed under the name human gut metagenome. RNAcentral's name for it is "bacterial LSU rRNA". It matches the Rfam family "Bacterial large subunit ribosomal RNA", at positions 392 to 2307 of the family's 2925-position model. The record is from RNAcentral.